GUUUAAACAACAGAAACUUACUUCUCACAGUUCUGGAGGCUGGAAGUCCAGGCCAAGGUGCCGGCAAGCAUCUGGAGCGCGAAGACUGGGCCAGAGAUGAGAAGAAGCCUGACGCCCUCCUGCCAUGGGGACUUGGCCUGAGAAUGAUGGAGAAGAGAAACGUCCUUGAAAUGAAGGUUCUUUGGGUUCAUUUGUCCAACCAGCCCUGGCUAAUGGUUGGCAAUGGGGGAAGGGCCAAGGGUUCCAAAAGGCGUAUGAGAAGAGGGCUGUUUGCCGACCCGAAUGCCACUGCAAAUUGACAAAGUUGUCCGCUCUUUCCACCACAGAUGAUUCCAUUUAUAUAAGGGCACAAUAUGAUGUUAUUACAUUCUUCUUUUUCCUUCUUCUUCUCCCCAAAGCCCCCAGAACAUAGUUGUAUAUUCUAGUUGUAGGUCCUUCUGGCUGUACUAUGUGGGAUGCCACCUCAGCAUGGCCUGGUGAGCGGUGCCAUGUCCGCACCCAAGAUCUGAACUGGUGAAACCCUGGGCCGCUGAAGCAGCGCGCACGUGCGAACUUAACCACUCAGCCACGGGGCCGGCCCCUGAUGUUAUUACAUUCUUGAAUGAACAGACCCAAUAUGAUUUAUUUAGAUAUUUUCCCACUUACUACUGUUAUCAUCAAAAUAAAACACAGACGUGACCACAGGGAGUUCCAGUUAUUGGCUUCAGGGAGAGCCCUGGGCUGGAGAGUGUGGCUGAAAGCCCAAGGUGUUCACGGAUGGCGGCCCAGGGGGUGGAGGGUUUGGAGAGGUCAGACAGGGAGGCAGCAGGCUGCCCCAGGACACAGGCGGGUCAAGGUCCGAGUUGGUCCUUCACUGAGGUGGCAGCUUAGGAGGGUGUCCACGGUCAGGGCGCCAUGCAGAUGGAAGGGGGUGGAGUCUGGGUGCAGUGGGGCGGGGGCAUCCUAGUCAGGAGAACUGCUGACGCUGUGGAGGGCUUGGUGUAGGCCAAGUGUUAUGCGGAUUAGUUGUUAUAUUUUUAUUCUCUUCUCAG
RNAcentral lists this long non-coding RNA (1031 nucleotides) under Equus caballus (horse). RNAcentral's name for it is "lncRNA (ENSECAG00000048495.1)". Lineage: Eukaryota; Metazoa; Chordata; Mammalia; Perissodactyla; Equidae. The record is from RNAcentral.